UACGAAGGGGGGCUAGCGUUGUUCGGAAUUACUGGGCGUAAAGGGCGCGUAGGCGGUACUUCAAGUCAGGCGUGAAAGCCCCCGGGCUCAACCUGGGAACCGCGCUUGAGACUGGAGAACUAGAGUUCGGGAGAGGAUGGUGGAAUUCCCAGUGUAGAGGUGAAAAUUCGUAGAUAUUGGGAAGAACACCGAUGGCGAAAGGCAGCCAUCUGGACCGACACUGACGCUGAGGCGCGAAAGCGUGGGGAGCAAAACAGG
Molecule: ribosomal RNA, 258 nt
Filed under: uncultured bacterium
Lineage: Bacteria
Description: partial 16S ribosomal RNA
Rfam family: Bacterial small subunit ribosomal RNA
Source: RNAcentral